This is a long non-coding RNA of Vigna radiata var. radiata (mung bean), 489 nucleotides long. RefSeq lists it as uncharacterized. The record is from RefSeq and is a predicted model, not a curated record. The transcript is spliced from 3 exons. NCBI's taxonomy places the organism in Eukaryota, Viridiplantae, Streptophyta, Magnoliopsida, Fabales, Fabaceae.
UUUCAUUAGCCAAAUCCUCUUCUUUCUCUAGAACUUAAAUUUCUUAUUUUCUCUGCCUUCUCUCUAACCUUGUUCCAUUUUCUCUGUACUCAUUUCUUAAAUUUCCACUGUUGCUUUGUCAAAUAGGUGGUGCUCUUACGUUCCCAGAGUCGAGGGCUUUCAAUCCCUCCGAUUAGUUUCGCAUCUCUCAGUUGAUAAGGUACUGUGGAGUUGUCUCUAUGUGGAGGUACGGUUGGAGAAUUUUUCUAUUGAGUUGUACUGUGAAGAUCAUAGAAAUAUUGAGGAGGUUACACUGGAGCAAGAGCUUGAGGAUACGGAUGCUGCAGCCUAGUCUUCCUAGGAGUUUCCUUGCCAUUUUAUGUUCUUUUGAAAUACUUCAUAUGUUAAGUUUUAAACUUAGGCCUCUUUUGUUAAAGUUUGAAUUCUGAAGUCUUAUUGGAUGACUGUAAUUUGUACCUUAUCUAAAAUUCUACUCCGACUGUUCUCUUA